CUCUAUAUAGAGACAGGUCUGGUGGACCUUUGUCCCUAUUUUAUCUGGGUGGGACUUAGGACACUUCUGAGACUGCUUCUCCCAGUUAUAAGAACAGUGUGUGGGAAGAGAAAGCCUUGGUCCCUGAUGAAGGCAUGCCAUCCUCUCUACAUUAGACAUGCUUCUAGAACUUUCCUUUGUGGACUCUGGGUUCUUCAUCCAAUAGCUUCUCAGAAGCUUUGACUUUUUUUUUUUUUUUUUUUUUUUUUUUUUACCUACCUCUGACUCCACUUAGUUAUCUGAUUUCCCAGCUGCAUUUCUAAAGAUAGAUGGACGAGAAGGAAACUUCUGGCAAGAGAUGUGAUCGGUUGUCUCCUUGAAGGUCUUUUCUGACCUGCUUACUGAGAAAUGGCAUUAGCAGAGCCUGCCUCAGGUAAGGACACACAGUUUAUAUGUUCCUUUUAAUUGACAAUGAAGAAAAUUUAUUGGAAAGAAAAAGAACUCUCCAGUGGAUAGAUUGGUGUGCGCAUUGGUACCUGAUGAUCAAUUUAUUUAAAAGGGAGACUCAGUAAGUGCAGUGGCCUCCCCUGGCAGAGCAGAGCAGAGCAGAGCACAGAAGGCAUGUGAUGUCGUGCCAACUGCGGGGAAAGACACUCUGUGAAAACAAUAUCCCACCAGCAAUGGGUAUCCCGUGGCAGCCAAAAUGUGGACAAACUCAAGCUCUCCGAAAGACAAACCAUUCAUGUUUCCCAUUGUUCCCACAGAUACUUGCUUCCCUCUGUUUAUUCCAGCUUUAAUAAACCAAUGAGUCACA
Molecule: long non-coding RNA, 793 nt
Organism: Rattus norvegicus (Norway rat)
Lineage: Eukaryota; Metazoa; Chordata; Mammalia; Rodentia; Muridae
Source: RefSeq, a predicted model, not a curated record